This 71-nucleotide transfer RNA is filed under the name Loxodonta africana (African savanna elephant). It matches the Rfam family "tRNA". From Rfam's summary of the family: Transfer RNA (tRNA) molecules are approximately 80 nucleotides in length. Their secondary structure includes four short double-helical elements and three loops (D, anti-codon, and T loops). Lineage: Eukaryota; Metazoa; Chordata; Mammalia; Proboscidea; Elephantidae. The record is from Rfam by way of RNAcentral.
GCAUUGGUUGUUCAGUGGUAAAAUUCUCACCUUCCAUGCAGGAGACCUGGGUUCUAUUCCUGGCCAAUGUA